UAGUAAAUCAAGUAUUACAUACAUUAUACAUAAACUAUUUUUGCUAAUAAUGCUACAAAUUCCAGACAUAGAAUACAUAUAUACAGAAUACUUCAGAAUUCAUAUCAAAGAAUCUUAUAUGCGGUGGGUUACAGUCAUUACUAUGCGUUUUAUAUAAGGUUUUAUCGGUUUAUAUUACAAUGCAACACUCGUCGAGUGAUCACAGACAAACUAUUAUCAGAACACAGUACAUAUUUCAAUAUGCCUUUGGGAUUCAUAAUUAUCACUGGUCUUCUCGCUUUUGGUGCUUAUUGGACUACAAAAUACUUAAUGAAUUCAGCUGAAUCAACAACAACACCAACUUUCGAUAUCUACACGACCACGGCUCUUCCAAGGCUAUAAAGAUGAUUCGUUUUAUUAUACAACUCUUAAUAUACAUUUAUAUUAAUUUUUUUCUGUAUAUAAUUGUCAUAGUAGAAUAUACAUAAGUAUUUGUUCCUAAAGGGAGUGAUUUCAGUGCAAUUUGUAAAAAUGCGCAAGGUUAUGUUUGUCGGUAACGAUUGUAAAGUUUUGUAACAAUAAACCAGCUUAUCUAAAAACGUUAUUUUGAUAAUAUUACAUACUAGCUGACUCACGACUUCGUCUCCAUUGCUUAUUUAUUAAUAAAAAUGUAUUUUACGUGCGGCAGAAAAAAAUAUUAAAAGGAUCGGAAGAAAAAUAUAUAUAUUCCUCGAAACUCACACGCCACCGAACUCGCAGUGCAUCUUGUACGAUAUCACUACAAUGGCUUCUAGAAUAUUAUUUAACUACUCUUUUAGGUGAUGUGUCAAUAU
RNAcentral lists this unclassified non-coding RNA (812 nucleotides) under Melitaea cinxia (Glanville fritillary). Its description in RNAcentral is "misc RNA ENSMCXG00005002210.1". The record is from RNAcentral. Lineage: Eukaryota; Metazoa; Arthropoda; Insecta; Lepidoptera; Nymphalidae.